AUGGCCGCUCCCUCCCCCGCCGUCGCCGCCGUCAGCAGCAGCGCGCCCUCGUCCGGGCUCCUGCCGCCGCGGCGCGCGGCACCGUGCAGCGCCGUCCCGCUGCCGUCGAUGAGGAGCACGGCGCCGGGGGUCAGGAUGGCGACGGUGGCCCGCGCGGUGGGCGACGUGGCCGCGGAGGGCAACACGUUCCUCAUCGCCGGCGCCGUGGCCGUCGCGCUCGUCGGCACCGCCUUCCCCAUCUUCUUCUCCCGCAAGGACACGUGCCCCGAGUGCGACGGCGCCGGGUUCGUGCGCAAGUCCGGCUCGACGCUGCGGGCGAACGCGGCGAGGAAGGACCAGGCGCAGAUCGUCUGCGCCAACUGCAACGGACUCGGCAAGCUCGGCCAGAUCGACAAGUAG
This 399-nucleotide ribosomal RNA is filed under the name Triticum aestivum (bread wheat). Its description in RNAcentral is "partial small subunit ribosomal RNA". The record is from RNAcentral. Lineage: Eukaryota; Viridiplantae; Streptophyta; Magnoliopsida; Poales; Poaceae.